RNAcentral lists this ribosomal RNA (449 nucleotides) under Daphnia ambigua. RNAcentral's name for it is "partial 12S ribosomal RNA". The record is from RNAcentral. Lineage: Eukaryota; Metazoa; Arthropoda; Branchiopoda; Diplostraca; Daphniidae.
AGUUAACAUAAAAUUACUAAAGAUAACAAACUUUAUUUUAAAGGUGAAAUUUAAUAAUAGAGGAUCUAUUUCUUUAAUUAAUUUUAAGGAACUAGAAAGUUUAGAUUUAAAACCAGGAUUAGAUACCCUGUUAUUCUAAAUGAGAGUUAAAAUAGGGUAGUAAAAGCUGUUCUUCAAACCCAAAGAUUUUGGCGGCAUUUCAUCCUAAUAGAGGAGCUUGUCCUGUAAUUGAUAAUCCUCGUUUAAUCUUACCCUUUUUUGUAGAGCUUGUAUACCGCCGUUGUCAGAUUACUUCUAAAGAAUGUUUUCAAGAAAAAUUUUUUUCUUACUUCAGGUCAAGGUGCAGUUUAUGGAAGGGCAGUGAUGAGCUACAAUUUAUACUAAAAAUACGGAUACUAGAUUUUAAUAUUGGUGGAAGGUGGAUUUAUUAGUAAGUUUACUUAAGUAUA